AACCUCCGCAAUGUGAGAAAUCGCGACGGGGGGAUCCCAAGUGCCAUUCUUAACGGGAUGGCUUUUCAUUAGUGUAAAGAGCUUUUGGAAUAAGAGCUGGGCAAGACCGGUGCCAGCCGCCGCGGUAACACCGGCAGCUCGAGUGGUAGCUGUUUUUAUUGGGCCUAAAGCGUCCGUAGCCGGUUUAAUAAGUCUCUGGUGAAAUCCUGCAGCUUAACUGUGGGAAUUGCUGGAGAUACUAUUAGACUUGAGACCGGGAGAGGUUAGAGGUACUCCCAGGGUAGAGGUGAAAUUCUGUAAUCCUGGGAGGACCGCCUGUUGCGAAGGCGUCUAACUGGAACGGUUCUGACGGUGAGGGACGAAAGUUAGGGGCGCGAACCGGAUUAGAUACCCGGGUAGUCCUAACUGUAAACGAUGCGGACUUGGUGUUGGGGUGGCUUUGAGCUGCUUCAGUGCCGAAGGGAAGCUGUUAAGUCCGCCGCUGGGAAGUACGGUCGCAAGACUGAAACUUAAAGGAAUU
RNAcentral lists this ribosomal RNA (520 nucleotides) under uncultured bacterium. RNAcentral describes it as "bacterial SSU rRNA". It matches the Rfam family "Archaeal small subunit ribosomal RNA", at positions 345 to 866 of the family's 1478-position model. The record is from RNAcentral.